Anastrepha ludens (Mexican fruit fly) is the source of this 1000-nucleotide long non-coding RNA. RefSeq lists it as uncharacterized. Lineage: Eukaryota; Metazoa; Arthropoda; Insecta; Diptera; Tephritidae. The record is from RefSeq and is a predicted model, not a curated record. The transcript is spliced from 3 exons.
UAACUGUCAGCACAGAAUGAAAUGACGCAACGUAUUUGAAACAUUCAAAUUUUGUAAUUUAUUUCAAUUCAAAAAAUGUUUCAAAAUUAAAUAAUAAAAUGAGAAAGCGUGCAAUUUGUUUUAGGAAACAACAGGGUGGAAUGGUGCCGUUUUUCAAGGUUUCAAUGGAGGAAUCAGAACGAUUAAUGUGGUCCACAUUAUGCCGAACACAACUUAGAGGCCAUGACUUCAUUUGUUGUACCACUUUCCCCGUGAAGAUGUAGUGUUCACAGGUAAUCAAACUAGAUUACUGGCAAAAGCCAUUCCAUUCCCCCAUCUUCGUAUGGCUCCAUUUUAAACGGUAUGUAUAUCGACCGUUAAACGAUGCUCGUCACCUUCUUUGAAAAAAAAAGCAAUUAUAACGCAGAUUAAAGACUGCCAAACGCAAACAGAGUAAGUGUACAUAAGCAAAUCGUGGGUUUUUGAUACUUUAAUUUUCCAUCAACUUGAAGCUUUAUAGUUUUGGAAUCUUUAAGUGAGGAGAAAGUAUUUAAGCUAGAAAAUGAACUCCAGAAAUUGAAGGCGGAAUAUCGGCAGUUAACCAACAAGUUGAAUGAAACGAAUGCGAUAAUGGCCAAUAUAAAAAAAAUAUUCACCGAAGGACAAAUUCUGAAAUUGGCCCUCCCCGAUCAAAACGUGAAUUGGUCACGUGCGGGCAUGCUGCUACAACAACAACAAAAGAGCCUCCUGACUGCAUCAAUCAAUUCUAUGUAACACAUGUCUGAUCUUUAUAAUUAUGAUAAAAUAUGAGUUCUUGCAUUCGACGAGAUGCACUAUGUGCAAGUAGUACUGGCAUGUAGGCUACUAAAGUCAUCACUGAAAUCCGCUAGUUUUCCAGUGGUAGCCGUGGUAUGUGAUAUGAGAUCUACCAACCGAAAGUUGCGGGAGGAAUUAAACGUGACUGUAGGUAUGAUCUAAUGGACAUAAUAUUCAAAAACUUAUACUAUUAAAAGAUAAGCCC